UACAGAGGUCUCAAGCGUUGUUCGGAUUUAUUGGGCGUAAAGAGCGUGUAGGCGGCCAGGGAGGUCCGUUGUGAAAACUCGAGGCUCAACCUCGAGACGCCGAUGGAAACCCCCUGGCUAGAGUCCGGAAGAGGAGAGUGGAAUUCCUGGUGUAGCGGUGAAAUGCGCAGAUAUCAGGAAGAACACCCGUGGCUAAGGCGGCUCUCUAGUACGGUACUGACGCUGAGACGCGAAAGCGUGGGGAGCGAACAGG
This 253-nucleotide ribosomal RNA is filed under the name uncultured bacterium. Its description in RNAcentral is "partial 16S ribosomal RNA". It matches the Rfam family "Bacterial small subunit ribosomal RNA", at positions 524 to 776 of the family's 1533-position model. The record is from RNAcentral.